GCUUACGGCCACACCGGCCUGAGUACGCCUGAUCUCGUCCGAUUUCGGAAGCUAAGCAGGGUCGGGCCUGGUUAGUACUUGGAUGGGAGACCCGCCUGGGAAUACCAGGUGCUGUAAGCU
Molecule: ribosomal RNA, 120 nt
Filed under: Oncorhynchus mykiss (rainbow trout)
Lineage: Eukaryota; Metazoa; Chordata; Actinopteri; Salmoniformes; Salmonidae
Source: RNAcentral